RNAcentral lists this ribosomal RNA (504 nucleotides) under uncultured bacterium. RNAcentral's name for it is "bacterial SSU rRNA". It matches the Rfam family "Bacterial small subunit ribosomal RNA", at positions 29 to 527 of the family's 1533-position model. The record is from RNAcentral.
AUUGAACGCUGGCGGCAUGCCUUACACAUGCAAGUCGAACGGUAACGCGGGGCAACCUGGCGACGAGUGGCGAACGGGUGAGUAAUGCAUCGGAACGUGCCCAGUAGUGGGGGAUAGCCCGGCGAAAGCCGGAUUAAUACCGCAUACGACCUACGGGUGAAAGCGGGGGACUCGCAAGAGCCUCGCGCUAUUGGAGCGGCCGAUGUCAGAUUAGGUAGUUGGUGGGGUAAAAGCCUACCAAGCCGACGAUCUGUAGCUGGUCUGAGAGGACGACCAGCCACACUGGGACUGAGACACGGCCCAGACUCCUACGGGAGGCAGCAGUGGGGAAUUUUGGACAAUGGGCGCAAGCCUGAUCCAGCCAUGCCGCGUGCGGGAAGAAGGCCUUCGGGUUGUAACCGCUUUGUCAGGGAAGAACGACUCUGGGCGUAAUACCCUGGGGUAAUGACGGUACCUGAAGAAUAAGCACCGGCUAACUACGUAGCCAGCAGCCGCGGUAAUCUG